This 29-nucleotide non-coding RNA is filed under the name Rattus norvegicus (Norway rat). Lineage: Eukaryota; Metazoa; Chordata; Mammalia; Rodentia; Muridae. The record is from RNAcentral.
UUUGAUGACCCCUAGAGUUAUAAUCACUA